CCUACGGGUGGCAGCAGUGAGGAAUAUUGGUCAAUGGGCGCGAGCCUGAACCAGCCAAGUCGCGUGAAGGAUGACUGCCCUACGGGUUGUAAACUUCUUUUAUAAAGGAAUAAAGUGAGGCAAGUGUGCCUUUUGGUAUGUAGUUUAUGAAUACGGAUCGGCUAACUCCGUGCCAGCAGCCGCGGUAAUCCGGAGGCUCCGAGCGUUAUCCGGAUUUAUUGGGUUUAAAGGGAGCGUAGGUGGGUUGUUAAGUCAGUUGUGAAAGUUUGCGGCUCAACCGUAAAAUUGCAAUUGAUACUGGCAGACUUGAGUACAGUAGAGGUAGGCGGAAUUCGUGGUGUAGCAGUGAAAUGCGUAGAUAUCACGAAGAACACCGGUGGCGAAGGCAGGCUACUAGACUGCCACGGACAUUGAGGCUCGAAAGUGUGGGGAGCAAACAGGAUUAGAUACCCGGGUAGUC
RNAcentral lists this ribosomal RNA (460 nucleotides) under uncultured bacterium. RNAcentral describes it as "partial 16S ribosomal RNA". It matches the Rfam family "Bacterial small subunit ribosomal RNA", at positions 338 to 795 of the family's 1533-position model. The record is from RNAcentral.